Molecule: ribosomal RNA, 465 nt
Filed under: Vreelandella stevensii
Lineage: Bacteria; Pseudomonadati; Pseudomonadota; Gammaproteobacteria; Oceanospirillales; Halomonadaceae
Description: partial 16S ribosomal RNA
Rfam family: Bacterial small subunit ribosomal RNA
Source: RNAcentral
CCUACGGGUGGCAGCAGUGGGGAAUAUUGGACAAUGGGGGGAACCCUGAUCCAGCCAUGCCGCGUGUGUGAAGAAGGCCCUCGGGUUGUAAAGCACUUUCAGUGAGGAAGAACGCCUGGUGGUUAAUACCCAUCAGGAAAGACAUCACUCACAGAAGAAGCACCGGCUAACUCCGUGCCAGCAGCCGCGGUAAUACGGAGGGUGCGAGCGUUAAUCGGAAUUACUGGGCGUAAAGCGCGCGUAGGUGGCUUGAUAAGCCGGUUGUGAAAGCCCCGGGCUCAACCUGGGAACGGCAUCCGGAACUGUCAAGCUAGAGUGCAGGAGAGGAAGGUAGAAUUCCCGGUGUAGCGGUGAAAUGCGUAGAGAUCGGGAGGAAUACCAGUGGCGAAGGCGGCCUUCUGGACUGACACUGACACUGAGGUGUGAAAGCGUGGGUAGCAAACAGGAUUAGAUACCCGAGUAGUC